ACAUGUCAUGAUCUCAUCAUCGACAUCAUUGAAACUCCUUUCGAUGGACCAGAACUCUUCCGAUUCAGACAAUUAGAAUGAUCGAUCAUCAAAAUCAUUCUAAUUGCUCCCAAAAUCCACCAGUGACACCUAGCAGUAUAUGGUGGCAACCCAUCAGAACUGAAGAUGAACCUCUCAGUGCAGCUACCUGUGUGAUUGAGUUCCUCUAUCAUGAGUCCCGACUGAAUUAGGGUUAAAGUGAACUCGUCAAACCCAACAUCAGUCAUAUGAAUCAAUCGAUC
Molecule: long non-coding RNA, 281 nt
Filed under: Elaeis guineensis (African oil palm)
Lineage: Eukaryota; Viridiplantae; Streptophyta; Magnoliopsida; Arecales; Arecaceae
Description: long non-coding RNA (EGUI_LNC081205)
Source: RNAcentral